Long non-coding RNA from Arachis duranensis, 700 nucleotides. RefSeq lists it as uncharacterized. The transcript has 4 exons. The record is from RefSeq and is a predicted model, not a curated record. NCBI's taxonomy places the organism in Eukaryota, Viridiplantae, Streptophyta, Magnoliopsida, Fabales, Fabaceae.
UGCUCAAGAGUUAGAAAGCUGGAUCAGAUCAGGAACUAUAGUUCUUGAGUCUUAGUGGAUUUAGAUCAGAAGUUCUCCUCACUAAUUACACGCAUUAAGAAAAAUCAAGAGAAAUAGAUCACUUUCUUGUCACCAGUGGUCUUCUCCUUCUUGGAGUUGUUGACCUUGUCAAGGAAAGGAUUACCGUUAAUGGUGUUGACGGUGCUAAUAACGGUGCAGCUGAUGAUGCAAUUUCUACAAUUCUUUUACCAUGCCAUCCGCCAUAAUUCUACAGGAGAUUUGUAGCUUACCCCAUGAGCAGCCAUCUGAAAUAUAAAGAGAUAUUGCAGAUUUAUAGAUCAUACUGAUGAAUUUGACGGGUUGGUUAUGGGAUUUGCGUCGAUCUACUUCUUCACCAGAUUAUAAAGUCCUGCUCCUGACAAUGGUGGAUAGGAUGAUAUUUAGAUGAAAAUUGGCAAGAUUGUAGAUAAAGUUUUGUUAACAAAGUGGUGACCACUCAUGACAGAAGCUUCAUACUAUGAGUGUUGUUUUACAACAUAAUUAAGAGGAACAAUGGGAAUACAUUGUUAUUUUGAUAGAAGGUGCUGUCAUUAACUACAUUUCUCUCAUGGUGAGAACUAUACUGGCACACCAGGUAUGUUACUGAUUCAUAAUAUUCAUCUUUUAAUUUGUAUUUUUCAUGUCUUGAUGUUUCAUAAUA